Long non-coding RNA from Passer domesticus (house sparrow), 829 nucleotides. RefSeq lists it as uncharacterized. The transcript has 2 exons. The record is from RefSeq and is a predicted model, not a curated record. NCBI's taxonomy places the organism in Eukaryota, Metazoa, Chordata, Aves, Passeriformes, Passeridae.
GGCAGGCACAGUGGGAAGGCAUCCAUGCAUCACAGGCCAUGCACACCCUAAGAUCCCCUGCAAUUUCCCAGUCUCUGCGCACAUCUGGAGGGGCCGCUCUGUGCAGGAGGGAGGGCCCUGGAGCAGCUCCAAAAUGCUGGCCAUUUUCCUUCUCCUUAUCCAUGUCUUCAACAAGUGUUGCCUGGAGCAGAAUGGCACAGCACAGAGGAAUUACGGUGUGCAGGCUCAGGGGUUCGGGUACUGAGCAGGCCUGUGCCAAAGGGCAGCAAGGUGCCUGCAGGCCCCAGCUCUGGGGGAAACAGAGAACAUCCUGCCUGUAUCCACCGUGCUGCCAGCUCAGCAGUGCAGCACAGCACGGGCUCACGCUCCCCAUUGCUCCCACAGAUGCAGCCAGCACCUCAACACAUUCUGACAUCAUCUGGAAAAGCAUGAGAAGAGUUUUCUGCUGGGGAACACCUUGUUUGAUUAAGUUGAUGGCCAUUGUGGCUGGUGCGGCACUGUGCCUGAUGAUGUGCUGUGCAGCAAUCUGGUAUUGCUGGAAGAGAAAAUCGUGCUCCUGUGCAUCUUCAGAAAAUUAUCCUAAAAAUAGAGACAACGACAACUUGACAAUAUAACCCAGCUCUUCACUUCUGCCCCUAUCUGCCCUGCCGUGGCUGCACCACCAUAAUGAAGGCAUCCCCAAAUCCAUCCCUCCUCAACGAGACCCUCUGCCCCGGAGUCCCCUGGUCCUGUUCCCCGGCCAGGACUGAAGGUGGGCAGCCCUUGUCUGGCAGGGCAGGGCUUGGCCCCUAUUUUAUGUUUAAAUAAAGAAAUAGAGUUUUCACAGCUA